This is a non-coding RNA of Phrynosoma platyrhinos (Desert horned lizard), 72 nucleotides long. The record is from the annotation of a GenBank genome assembly. NCBI's taxonomy places the organism in Eukaryota, Metazoa, Chordata, Lepidosauria, Squamata, Phrynosomatidae.
GACAGAAUGGUGUAGUGGUUUGAGCAUUGGACUACGACUUUGGAGACUCGGGUUCAAAUCCCCACUCAGUCA